CUUAGCUGAGGCUCUUUGGGGGUUCGGAGUAUGAAAACCGGCGGCCACCAUCCUGACCUGUGUGGAUGGGUUAGAAAGGCCAGGAGGGAGAGAGGAAGAGGGCAACCAUCCUGACCUGUGCGGGUGGGUUAGAAAGGCCAGGAGGGAGAGAGGAAGAGGGCAGAAAAGACCCGACCGUGGCGACCCCUGCACAAGCUUGGGGGAAAGACGAGGGGAGAGAAAUGGCUGAGAGAGCGGGGAGAGAAAAACUAGGUGGAAAACCUUCUGGACAAGCCAAGCGAAUCCAGCCUGAACGAAAAGAGACGCCGCUGAGUGGGAAGGAGGACGUUGGCACCCACUCGCUUUGGUGAGAAUCAGAGAAGCAAGAAAUAGGAAGUUGACGGAGAGCCACCGUCCGGGGGAUGGCCAGCGCUAGAAGGAAAUGGAUUCGGAGUUCAUUUAUUUGUUUUAUUUGAAGCUUACCUUCUGUCGUAGAAUUGCUCCUGAGCAUUGGCUCCAAGGCAACAGAGUUGGAAGGGGUUGGAGGUUCAGCGGCUUGCCCAGAGUGGCACAGCUUGGGCGUGUCUGAGGCCAGAUUUGAACCCCAAAACUCGCCUCUGCAGGCCUGGCUCUCUAUUCCUGGAGCCGGCCGGGCUGUCUCUAAUACGGUUUUUUAAAAUGCCAGUCAGUGGUCAGGACCCAAAGGCACCGAGAAGAAAAGUGCCAACUGGGGCAGCUUGAAGGGUGCCCUCUUGGCCUGGACGUUGUCAGAGAGGGCCGCACUGGGGAGGGUGGGAGGACGGACACACGAGUGAGCUCUCUUGCUCGCUGCUGGAGAAGCUUCGGAUGGGUCACAGGUCACAGAGUCAGUCAGCUAGCCUUUGCUGGCGGCUCCUGGGUGCCAGGCCAGGCCUCGGCCUACCAGGGAAGGCAGAAGCCCCCCUAGCCCUCGGGGGGGCAAGGCCCCAGGAAUUUGGACAGAUAGGGGUGAUUGGAGGGUUGGGGAGUCUCAGAGAUGGGGGGCUCCGAGAGGAAGAAGAGGAGGAGGAAGGAAGAGAGAAGGAGGUCCCCUCAAGGGUUGUCCAGUCUGCUCUGUCCGGCCUGUUUCGCCCUCCCUGACCAGCAGGGGCCACUCUCUGGGCUGGCCUCUCUCAGGUUCCGGCCUGGACCUGCAGGAGGCCUGUGCAGGGGUCACGGGCAGCGAGCUAGGGGCUGCUUCUUCCCCUUUCCCGGGCAUGGGCUGGCCCCAGGGCAGCAGGGGGCUGAAGGACAUGACCGAUGCAGAGACUUGUGGCCCUCCUCAGCAGACCUCAGCGGGCACCGGACCCAGGCCCUAGCCCCAGACCACCAACUCAAAGCCUGGGAGCCGCUCGUCCCCCCAGAAUGUAUUCACACCAAGUGUUGUCUAGCCAUGGCUCUCCAUCCUCUCCUUGUGCCAUUCAGUGUGAGGACCUGGUGUUGGUCUCUACGUUUGUAUCCGUUUGCCUGAAUUUCUUAGUUUUAAGCUGUUGGAGCUACAAGGAGCCUUCGAGGCCCUUGAGACCUUCCAGGUCCAACCUGAACGUGGCCUUGGAGGAAUGCAUGACUGCCCUGGACCUCUUCCUCACCAACCAGUUCUCCGAGGCGCUCACCUACCUGCAGCCCAAGUAGGAGCCUCACUUGUUGGGGAUGGGGGAUGGGAGGGGGCUCCUCCCUCAGCAGAUGUUUCCAUCUGUGUGAUGGGCAGCACCCAGCAGCCUCGGAGCUUCUUGCCCUCUGCUAUGAAUCAGCUUCCUGGCAGGUCCUUUAACCGCUUGGAGCCUCUGUUUUCUCAUCUGUAAAAUGGGGGAAAUCAUGGCUCCUCCCUCUCAGGGCUGCUGGGAGGAUCAAAUGAGAUCACCCCCCCCAGUACCGAAUGAAUGCUGGGGCUAACGAUGGGACAGUCCCUGCUUGCAGGGGGCUUACGGUCUUCUGGGGGCCGGCACCCACGUACUCACCUCGGGGUCAGGGAGGGCUUCAUGGAAGCAGAGGUACUUGGGUAGAGCUUCGGACGGGAAUGAGGCUUCUGAGGAGGGUCACUGAGGAGGGCAGGCAUCCCAGGCAAGGGGCACGACCUAAGCAAAGGCAAGGAGAUGAGAGAAGGAACGUCAAGAUGAUGAAAUAGUCAGCAGGGCCAUUUUGGACCGAAGGACUAGAGAGGCAAAAAGGCUUAUCCAAAGCUACACAGCCAGUCAUUACCAGGACCAGACUGUCAACAGGAAAGUGAGAGGAGCAGGGGAGAGAGAGAGACAGAAGAGGGAACUGGGGGGGC
This 2269-nucleotide long non-coding RNA is filed under the name Monodelphis domestica (gray short-tailed opossum). RNAcentral's name for it is "lncRNA (ENSMODG00000049834.1)". The record is from RNAcentral. Lineage: Eukaryota; Metazoa; Chordata; Mammalia; Didelphimorphia; Didelphidae.